This 428-nucleotide ribosomal RNA is filed under the name uncultured bacterium. Its description in RNAcentral is "partial 16S ribosomal RNA". It matches the Rfam family "Bacterial small subunit ribosomal RNA", at positions 354 to 796 of the family's 1533-position model. The record is from RNAcentral.
GUAGGGAAUAUUGGACAAUGGGGGCAACCCUGAUCCAGCGACGCCGCGUGAGUGAUGAAGGCCUUCGGGUCGUAAAGCUCUGUUGCAGGGGAAGAACACAAUGACGGUACCCUGCUAGAAAGGAUCGGCUAACUUCGUUCCAGCAGCCGCGGUAAGACGAGGGAUCCUAGCGUUGUUCGGAAUUAUUGGGCGUAAAGCGGGUGCAGGUGGCUUGGUAAGUCAGAUGUGAAAGCCUGGGGCUUAACCCCAGAAGUGCAUUUGAUACUGCUGGGCUUGAGUGCUGGAGAGGCUAUUAGAAUUCCUGGUGUAGUGGUGAAAUACGUAGAUAUCAGGAGGAAUACCGGAGGCGAAGGCGGAUAGCUGGCCAGACACUGACACUCAGACCCGAAAGCGUGGGGAUCAAACAGGAUUAGAAACCCCGGUAGUCC